CGCUCGGCCGCCUGGACCAGUCCGGAGCCCAGCGCGGCCGCGGUGCGGGUGGGAGUGCGGAAGCGGGUUCCUCCUCCUUUAAAGUUGAGUGACACGUGGGCGGCCGGCCACAGUCUCCGUACACUUGUUCCCCGCAGAGGAUAAUCAGCGUCGCAACUCCUGUUAGUGUCUUCACCCGGCACCCAGCGCCCGGUCCUUGGCACUUGGCCCUCAGCACCCGGCACCCAGCCUGCACAGCACCUGGGCACAGUCAAGCUGAACGUCUCCCGCGGAGACUCGCGCUCUGCUAAAGCAGUUACAUUUCCCGACAAGUGCCAGUGACCGCACCACCGUUCCGUCCCAUGAAGUCGAGUGAGUGCCAGACGACCGUCACCGAGCCCAGCGCCCGGCCUGCUAUUUCCUACCUCAUUUAAGGAUGAAAUUCUGGUGAGACUACUGGUCUACCCCAACCGCAGCUAGGCGGCCUUCUCCCUCCCACAGCAGGCACUGGAGAUGCUUCGUCCCGAGGUGUUGGGUUCAACAGGAUAGACCUCUAGAGGCGGUGCAGAGUCUGCCAUCCGAAAAAUGCCUUCAUCGCGGUGAAAACCCGCUGGUGCCCACGGGCCGGACAGAAGGCAGAAGAUGUGCCUCUGGGCAGCCGUUCUCCCCAGGAAUGAAGGACCCGAAAGUGAGUCCCCAAAGUGAGGGGACUCGGGGAGCCACACGCCGUCCCUGAAAGAGGAAGGAUCAUUUUACUGACAACAGAAAGAUUAAUCAUACAUUUCACAAAGGAGCCGCAAAGUUCGUUUACCAAAUUACAGAGAAAGAGGCUCCGUAGCAGCAGGGCUCAGGGCUUUUUUAAACUGCUAAGUUACUUUGGAUUCUUCCAGAAGCAAACCUUGAGUCAAGGAUUUUGAUGCUCCCAGGAGUACCCGCUCUCACCCGCAGCUCCCCUCCCGCCCCUGGCCGGACAGAGAAAGACAGAUGUCCUCAGGCUACUCCUGGCCGGAAGCCGGGCCAGCAGUCCGUCAGGAGAGACGGGCUCGUGCAGCAACACUGAGCAGGAAAAAAACAGGUAUGAUGAGCCCGUGGGGACCCAAGACCGCCCGGUGAGACAGAAGCAGCAGAGGAAGACGGCAAUGAGAAAUCCUGCAGGACUAGUGAAAUAGGCGUAACUUCUGGGGAAGGGGAAGCGCCGGUGUGGAACCUGGAGCGUGUCUACACCGCCUGCUGGGGCAGCAUCUCCUGGUGCCGGGAAAAGCCUGGAGGUGGGAGAGCGUGCGGAAAGAACGGAAGAGCUCACGGAAGCUAAUGACGCCUCUGAAAUACAGCCGGCAGUAGACGUGGGUGUCCGUUACCCGAACCCGAAAGGGCUGACCCACGGGCCGCCCCAGGGAGCGGAGGGUUGAUAGGGACUUCGGUAAUCAGGAAAGUGAUUGAUAACCAGGAUGAAAGCCAUGGCAUUAAUAAUAAAGGGAUCGAUGACACACACAAAUAUAUCUACAGACCAUUGCCUCAACUGGAAGACGGCAAAACCCCAGAUGUAUCACUGCUUUCAAAUUUAUUUAUAGAUCGAUGUCUUAAUGUGAUAAACAGCGGGCCUGUCAACGAAAAAUACUGAAAACCACAACGUACAACCGUGGCUUUUGUUCCUUUUCUGCGCUGCACGAGAGAUGUCGGCGCGGGUCCGGGACUCGGGACGGCUCCUUCGUCAUCUGGCGGGUGGUGGCAGAUGGCCGCUAGCCCCACGGCCGGCCGCUAACGAACACAAAACUGCGUCCCCGUGGACGCCCUCAGGCCGGAGCCGCGGGGCUCCAGAAGUGGCGGUGGCUCCGCCGCGUCUAAUCGGCCCCGCUGCUGCAGCCGAGGGCUGUGUGAGAGGGAGCUGGCCCGUGGCUCUGGGCUCAGCCGUUCGGUCCCUAGACAGACCGAAGGGAAGGCCGAGGACAGCGGCUCUCACGGUUCCUUUGCCCCGUGUGGCUGCACGCGGCGUUCCAAGGAGCCCGCGCCCUCCUGCGUUUGCCCCCGAGUGAGGGGGCGCCUCCUGCCGGCCAGGCCUGGAAAUAGGUCCUGGAGGCGGAAGCAUGGCUGCAGAGACCGAACCUGCGCUCCCCCUCCGGCCCGGGAGGCAGCACAGAGUGGGGCAAGGGGUGCAGCAGGAGUGGCAAAGGAGGCCGAAGCUGUCUCUGGGCACAGCCGGGGGUGACCAGGCAGAAGGGGACACUUCCAGCCAGACAGUCAGGGAGGCUCAAGACGAGUGUCCUGCCAAACCCAGACACCCAGGGGAGAGGCCACGGGGCGCGGGGACCAGAGAGGCCCAAGUGGGCUGAAAGGCCAGGCUUUGAACUUGGUUCUUGGGGGAGCCAUGAAAGAUCAGGAUUCGAUGUUAUCGUGCCAAGAAUUGCCCUGGAGGCUCCAGUGCGGAUGCUGACUCAGUGGGUCUGGUGAGGCUGCUGCCAGGCUCCGGGUCACUGACGUGCAGAGAGGCCUCAGCUGAGCCAUCUAUUGCAGAAGAAUAGGUCCUAUUUUGGUAAAAAUAAAAAAUAAAAAUCAUCAUCAUCAUCAUCAUCAUAAUGCAAGUUGAUAUACACACUGAAUACCCAGAAGGAAAUGUGUUUCUGGAAAGAGGAGCACAGGGCAGACCCCCUUUCCCAUCCCAUGUGUAACCGUAAUGGUUCCAGUUUUACGGUGAGCAUGAAUUAUUUUGCAUCAGUAAAACAAAAAUCAAUAAAUUGAUGCACUGAAACAAAAAAAGUUUGUGAA
Molecule: long non-coding RNA, 2742 nt
Organism: Suricata suricatta (meerkat)
Lineage: Eukaryota; Metazoa; Chordata; Mammalia; Carnivora; Herpestidae
Exons: 5
Source: RefSeq, a predicted model, not a curated record